Molecule: ribosomal RNA, 406 nt
Filed under: uncultured bacterium
Lineage: Bacteria
Description: partial 16S ribosomal RNA
Rfam family: Bacterial small subunit ribosomal RNA
Source: RNAcentral
AUUGAACGCUGGCGGCAGGCCUAACACAUGCAAGUCGAACGAGUGGCGGACGGGUGAGUAAUGUAUGGGGAUCUGCCUGAUGGCGGGGGAUAACUACUGGAAACGGUAGCUAAUACCGCAUACCAUCAGAUGAACCCAUAUGGGAUUAGCUUGUAGGUGAGGUAACGGCUCACCUAGGCGACGAUCCCUAGCUGGUCUGAGAGGAUGAUCAGCCUCACUGGGACGGAGACACGGCCCAGACUCCUACGGGAGGCAGCAGUUGGGAAUAUUGCACAAUGGGCGCAAGCCUGAUGCAGCCAUGCCGCGUGUAUGGAGAAGGCCUUCGGGUUGUAAAGUACUUUCAGUCGGGAGGCGUUCACUACCCAAGAAGCACCGGCUAACUCCGUGCCAGCAGCCGCGGUAAUAC